Molecule: small nucleolar RNA, 133 nt
Filed under: Colobus angolensis palliatus
Lineage: Eukaryota; Metazoa; Chordata; Mammalia; Primates; Cercopithecidae
Description: U8 small nucleolar RNA (ENSCANG00000004072.1)
Source: RNAcentral
UCCUCACAUGGUAUAAUUUUUACUUCAUUCUCCCUUUGGAGGGCAGGUUAGAACAUGAAUGUAAUUUGCAUGAUCCAUGAGUCACAUCUUGGAGUAGUCACAACUUGCAGUGCCCUGAUUGCUUCUAUUGGCU